UUGAAUAAUAAAAACUGCAUGGCAAUUUUACCAACCGGAUAUGGGAAGUCAUUGCCAUAUCAGAUGUUUAUACAUGUGAGAAAAGAGUUACAGAUUCAGCGAUCCUCAGGCGCAGACUCUUCCAACGUUGGAAAGAUUAUCGUGCCUUCUCCUUUAAUUGCAUAAAUGCAAGAUUAAGUGGACAAAUUGAACUCAAUUCCAAACGUGAACGCAGUUUACAAAGGCUAGAGUAAAGACAGUGACCAGGUAAUAGCAGAGGGCAAGUUUGAUCAUCUCAUUGCAUCGCCAGAGGCGUUGGUUGGCAGCAGUGCCUUCCGGCAAAUACUUAAGGGAUUAAAAGUACACACAAUUGUGGUAGAUGAAUACCACACUAUGUGCACAUGGGGAGGAUUAGGGGAUGACGAGCAGUUAGCCUUUAGAAAAUGGUUCCGGCACAUAGGGUAGCUAUGGUAUAUGUUUCCCUCUGCAAAUUUAUAGGCUGUCAGUGCAACUUGUAACGAGAUAAUUCGUCGAACAGCUUUGAAGGAACUGGGGUUGCUAAAAGAAUGCACAGCAUUGAUUAUAAGAUCACCAG
Molecule: long non-coding RNA, 574 nt
Organism: Saccostrea echinata
Lineage: Eukaryota; Metazoa; Mollusca; Bivalvia; Ostreida; Ostreidae
Exons: 3
Source: RefSeq, a predicted model, not a curated record